Molecule: long non-coding RNA, 283 nt
Organism: Rhipicephalus sanguineus (brown dog tick)
Lineage: Eukaryota; Metazoa; Arthropoda; Arachnida; Ixodida; Ixodidae
Exons: 3
Source: RefSeq, a predicted model, not a curated record
CUUUUGCCGCAAGAACUUUUACGCCCUCAGCGUCAUGGUGGUAUGUGACCAACCCUGCCGAUGACUGCCCUCGCACUCGGGGCCCGUGCACGACGCCUUUAUGUGGAAGACAUCCACCGUGAGCCAGGACUGGGCAGUGGACGCCGUGGCCAGGUGAUAGUGCAUACUCGCUUCAACCUUGGCUGCUUAACCCCAUCCCUGGAGCACAUCCUGCAGAAUCCUCUGCUGCCCGAUUCCACCGCACCCACUCUUCACUGCGGUGCGUCGUAUAACUGUGCACUGG